Non-coding RNA from Penaeus vannamei (Pacific white shrimp), 204 nucleotides. The record is from RefSeq and is a predicted model, not a curated record. Lineage: Eukaryota; Metazoa; Arthropoda; Malacostraca; Decapoda; Penaeidae.
GCCCUGGACGUUUUACUGUAUCUGCGAAAUGAAGGAGAAUAUCUGCCUUGGGCUACAGGCGCCAGGAAAUUCGUUUACAUAGAGAGUAUGUUCAGACGCAGAAGUGGAUUCGGCGCUCUCAAGCGUUACCUCCUGGAUUUGGUGUUGCCGCUCUACGAGUCCGUUGGGUUCGACAACAACAUCGAGGACUCUUUCUUGGAGCAA